GUUAAAUUGAAGGUUUCAUAGACGGUACAGAACAUACAGGCUCAGAACAUAGUAAAGUAAUAAACACAGGAUAGGUAAUAGAAAUAAUAGAAAAGAAUGGCAAGCGAAAACAUGUCGACAAGUACACCUUGAAGUUUGGUCUUUUGAUGACUCGUAAUCACCUUCCAAGCAAUGAAACCUUAGAUAACUUUUAUCUUACAUAUAAAGUAUAUUUAUAACAAACAUAGAUGAAAAUUCUUACUUUCUACUUUUGUUACAGAGAAGAACACAAGAUUCAGGAAUCUACAAAAGAAACCAAAAGUGCUAAAAUCAACGCAAAAUUAUCAAUACGUAUUUAACCUUUGAACGAAGGACCUUAUCAUAAAUCAGGAUUAGCUAAAGUCAAGAAUAAAAUGCACAACAUCAAAGUUAUUUGCAGACAAAUAAAUAUAAAAUUUUGUUCAUAUUUCCCUGAGAAUCAUAUUUUUUAAUGUGGAUUAUACAAUUUUAUACUAUGAUAAAUAUUUUAUUUUAU
RNAcentral lists this unclassified non-coding RNA (514 nucleotides) under Bombus terrestris (buff-tailed bumblebee). Its description in RNAcentral is "misc RNA ENSBTSG00005019824.1". The record is from RNAcentral. Lineage: Eukaryota; Metazoa; Arthropoda; Insecta; Hymenoptera; Apidae.